RNAcentral lists this ribosomal RNA (264 nucleotides) under Pneumocystis sp. Its description in RNAcentral is "partial large subunit ribosomal RNA". The record is from RNAcentral. Lineage: Eukaryota; Fungi; Ascomycota; Pneumocystomycetes; Pneumocystales; Pneumocystaceae.
UCGGACUAGGAUAUAGCUGGUUUUCUGCGAAAUCUAUUUUGGUAGAUAGCUUAAAUAAUAAUGUUUAUUAGUCUUAUUAGUGGGUAUAGCACUGAAUAUCUAAUUUUAUUUGAAGGGAGUAUGAAAGUACUUACUUUGGAUAUUUAAUCUCAGAAUAACUAAUGGAUGAAAAGUAAUUAAGUUGUCAGACUUUUUGCGAUAAGGUGGGAAGUCAAGAGGGAAACAGCCCAGAAUAAUUUAUAAAGUUCUAAAAUUGUUACUGAG